GAUGAACGCUAGCUACAGGCUUAACACAUGCAAGUCGAGGGGUAACGAGAGGAAAGCUUGCUUUCCUUGUCGACGACCGGCGCACGGGUGAGUAACGCGUAUCCAACCUGCCCCCAACUAGGGAAUAACCUUGCGAAAGUAAGACUAAUACCCUAUAAUUUCCUCAGAUGUCAUCUGACGAGGAAUAAAGAUUUAUCGGUUGUGGAUGGGUAUGCGUCUGAUUAGCUUGUUGGCGGGGUAACGGCCCACCAGGGCAACGAUCAGUAGGGGUUCUGAGAGGAAGGUCCCCCACAUUGGAACUGAGACACGGUCCAAACUCCUACGGGAGGCAGCAGUGAGGAAUAUUGGUCAAUGGGCGGAAGCCUGAACCAGCCAAGUAGCGUGCAGGAUGACGGCCCUAUGGGUUGUAAACUGCUUUUAUACAGGAAUAAAGUUAGCCACGUGUGGUUAUUUGUAGGUACUGUAUGAAUAAGGACCGGCUAAUUCCGUGCCAGCAGCCGCCGUAA
RNAcentral lists this ribosomal RNA (506 nucleotides) under uncultured bacterium. RNAcentral describes it as "partial 16S ribosomal RNA". It matches the Rfam family "Bacterial small subunit ribosomal RNA", at positions 28 to 523 of the family's 1533-position model. The record is from RNAcentral.